CUCUACAGAUACUUCUCCAAGGCCUGAAAAACCAGACCUUCUUCUUCUCUCUGCCCCACUGCCCCUGGCAAGAAGCAUAGUAAUAGGCUUAGGACAGACCAGAACAGAUAAGUAAAUCUUUUUUGUUAUUGUUGCUUCUCCGAGAAUGAUACCAGUGUUUGCCCCUUUGUUCCAACACAGCCAGGGCUCUCUUUAUGACAUGUGUAGCUUGGGGUGAUCGUGGCUUUUGGUCUUCUAACUUCUCACUGUCAAACAUUCUAACAGUUUUCAGGGUUUAAAUGGCAGUCAUUGAUAUGAACAGAACCACCCCUGCUGACACCCUGUAGGGGAUAAAGCCGGAAUCUUCAGAAGGAAAAAAUCAUGAGUUUUCUACACUCAGAAAUUAAUGCUCAGGCAUGAAGAGUAAGCCUGGAGCUGGGGCAGAAGGCCUUUGAGAAGUCUGGCCUGGGCAUCUCCUGAGAGGGGCUUUCAUUCUUUUCUUUUUUUCAUUCUACAAAUGAUUCCUGCACAUCGACUGCAUUCAAGGGGAUGCAACGUUGACAAGACAGACAAGGUCCUUGCCCUCCUGGGAUGACUUCUAAGGGGGCAGAGACUAACCUAUGAAAAAGCAAGGGCUAUGGAUCAAGUAUUCUUUGAAGUGCCCUGUUCACUUCAUGGUUCUGUAGAGAAUUAGAAAACUUCCAGGAGUUUCCAAGAAUGCUGAUAUCCAGUUCACCACUUUACCCACUGGUGAGGAGAAGAAAGUCAAAGGAAACCAUAUGUCUUAGACCUUAGUCUCCACUGGUGACCUCUGUCUACCUUGACCCUUUCUCUAUCAGGUUGGAAGAAGCCUUGGAGGGCACACAGAAGCACUUCCUCCUUUUACAAACAAGAAAAGGGACAGAGUGACAACUUUAAAAAAAUCUACAUCUGAAGUUAGUUCUAUAGUUUCCUAUCUCCAGAAGAGGCAGAAAUGAACUCCACCAUGCCUAAA
Molecule: long non-coding RNA, 973 nt
Filed under: Homo sapiens (human)
Lineage: Eukaryota; Metazoa; Chordata; Mammalia; Primates; Hominidae
Description: HSALNT0319669
Source: RNAcentral